This 85-nucleotide transfer RNA is filed under the name Felis catus (domestic cat). It matches the Rfam family "tRNA". Rfam says of the family: Transfer RNA (tRNA) molecules are approximately 80 nucleotides in length. Their secondary structure includes four short double-helical elements and three loops (D, anti-codon, and T loops). Lineage: Eukaryota; Metazoa; Chordata; Mammalia; Carnivora; Felidae. The record is from Rfam by way of RNAcentral.
GCCUGGGUGGCUCAGUUGGUUGAGCGUCCGACUUCGACUCGGUUCAUGAUCGCGCAGCUCGUGAGUUCGAGCCCCGCGUUGGGCU